AACAAGGCGUACCUGCGGACCUGCGGAAGGAUCAUUACCGAGUUUACAACUCCCAAACCCCUGUGAACAUACCUAUACGUUGCCUCGGCGGAUCAGCCCGCGCCCCGUAAAACGGGACGGCCCGCCCGAGGACCCUAAACUCUGUUUUUAGUGGAACUUCUGAGUAAAACAAACAAAUAAAUCAAAACUUUCAACAACGGAUCU
Molecule: unclassified non-coding RNA, 204 nt
Filed under: soil metagenome
Description: partial contains 5.8S ribosomal RNA, internal transcribed spacer 2, and large subunit ribosomal RNA
Source: RNAcentral